GGCAACGUGGCCGAGUGGUCUAAGGCGCUGGAAUUAGGUGAUCGUCCUGAAAAGGCAUGGUUUACGUACUAUCCAGUCCUCCGGGGCGUGAGUUCGAACCUCACCGUUGUCA
Non-coding RNA from Armillaria mellea, 112 nucleotides. Lineage: Eukaryota; Fungi; Basidiomycota; Agaricomycetes; Agaricales; Physalacriaceae. The record is from the annotation of a GenBank genome assembly.